RNAcentral lists this ribosomal RNA (282 nucleotides) under uncultured bacterium. RNAcentral describes it as "partial 16S ribosomal RNA". It matches the Rfam family "Bacterial small subunit ribosomal RNA", at positions 773 to 1060 of the family's 1533-position model. The record is from RNAcentral.
GUGGAUUAGAUACCCUGGUAGUCCACGCCGUAAACGAUGGAGACUGUCUGUUGGAUCGCAAGAUUCAGUGGAUAAGCGAAAGUGAUAAGUAUCCCACCUGGGGAGUACGUUCGCAAGAAUGAAACUCAAAGGAAUUGACGGGGGCCCGCACAAGCGGUGGAGCAUGUGGUUUAAUUCGAUGAUACGCGAGGAACCUUACCAAGGCUUAAAUGUAUAAUGACCGAUCUGGAAACAGAUCUUUCUUCGGACAGAAUGCAAGGUGCUGCACGGCUGUCGCCAGCU